GAUGAAGAACGCAGCGAAAUGCAAUAAGUAAUGUGAAUUGCAGAAUUCAGUGAAUCAUCGAAUCUUUGAACGCACCUUGCGCUCUUUGGUAUUCCGAAGAGCAUGCCUGUUUGAGUGUCAUGAAAAUAUCAACCUUGACUUGGGUUUUGUGCUCUAGUCUCGGCUUGGAAUUGGGUGCUUGCCGCUUUUACGAGCGGCUCACCUUAAAUGUAUUAGCUGGAUCUGUCUUUGAGACUUGGUUUGACUUGGCGUAAUAAGUAUUUCGCUAAGGACAUUCUUCGGAGUGGCCUCGUUUCUAGGACGCUUGUCCGCUUUCCAAUACAAGUUCCACCUCGUGGACAUGACUUUUUAUUAUCUGGCCUCAAAUCAGGUAGGACUACCCGCUGAACUUAAGCAUAUCAAUAAGCGGAGGA
Molecule: unclassified non-coding RNA, 413 nt
Filed under: soil metagenome
Description: partial contains 5.8S ribosomal RNA, internal transcribed spacer 2, and large subunit ribosomal RNA
Rfam family: 5.8S ribosomal RNA (bases 1-120)
Source: RNAcentral